GGCGAACGCUGGCGGCGUGCUUAACACAUGCAAGUCGAACGGAAAGGCCCUGCUUUUGUGGGGUGCUCGAGUGGCGAACGGGUGAGUAACACGUGAGUAACCUGCCCUUGACUUUGGGAUAACUUCAGGAAACUGGGGCUAAUACCGGAUAGGAGCUCCUGCUGCAUGGUGGGGGUUGGAAAGUUUCGGCGGUUGGGGAUGGACUCGCGGCUUAUCAGCUUGUUGGUGGGGUAGUGGCUUACCAAGGCUUUGACGGGUAGCCGGCCUGAGAGGGUGACCGGCCACAUUGGGACUGAGAUACGGCCCAGAAUCCUACGGGAGGCAGCAGUGGGGAAUAUUGCAAAAUGGGCGGAAGCCUGAUGCAGCAACGCCGCGUGCGGGAUGACGGCCUUCGGGUUGUAAACCGCUUUCGCCUGUGACGAAGCGUGAGUGACGGUAAUGGGUAAAGAAGCACCGGCUAACUACGUG
RNAcentral lists this ribosomal RNA (468 nucleotides) under uncultured bacterium. Its description in RNAcentral is "partial 16S ribosomal RNA". It matches the Rfam family "Bacterial small subunit ribosomal RNA", at positions 28 to 507 of the family's 1533-position model. The record is from RNAcentral.